RNAcentral lists this ribosomal RNA (1238 nucleotides) under marine metagenome. Its description in RNAcentral is "bacterial LSU rRNA". It matches the Rfam family "Bacterial large subunit ribosomal RNA", at positions 1225 to 2457 of the family's 2925-position model. The record is from RNAcentral.
UGGGUAGGGGAGCAUUGUAUACGGGCUGAAGCUGUACCGUAAGGAGCAGUGGACUGUAUACAAGAGAGAAUGUUGGCAUAAGUAGCGAGAGGUAGGUGAGAAUCCUACCCGCCGAAAACCUAAGGUUUCCUGAGGAAGGCUCGUCCGCUCAGGGUAAGUCGGGACCUAAGCCGAGGACGAAAGUCGUAGGCGAUGGACAACAGGUGAAGAUUCCUGUACCACCUCUUUAUCGUUUGAGGGAUGGGGGGACGCAGGAGGAUAGGCAAAGCCCACGGUUGGUAGAGUGGGUCCAAGCCCGUAGGGAGUAGAGAUAGGCAAAUCCGUCUCUACAAUCCUAAAAGGUGAUGGGGAGCGAAAAAUAAGUAGCGAACUUGCUGAUUCCACACUGACAAGAAAAGCCUCUACCGAGAUAAAAGGUGCCCGUACCGCAAACCGACACAGGUAGGUGAGGAGAGAAUCCUAAGGCGAGCGAGAUAACUGCUGUUAAGGAACUCGGCAAAAUGACCCCGUAACUUAGGGAGAAGGGGUGCCACGUUAGGGUUAAUAGCCCGAGGUGGCCGCAGAGAAUAGGCCCAAGCGACUGUUUAGCAAAAACACAGGUCUCUGCUAAAUCGAAAGAUGAUGUAUAGGGGCUGACGCCUGCCCGGUGCUGGAAGGUUAAGAGGAGUAGUUAGCGUAUGCGAAGCUGUGAAUCGAAGCCCCAGUAAACGGCGGCCGUAACUAUAACGGUCCUAAGGUAGCGAAAUUCCUUGUCGGGUAAGUUCCGACCCGCACGAAAGGCGUAACGAUUUGGGCACUGUCUCAACAGCAGACUCGGUGAAAUUGUAGUACCGGUAAAGAUGCCGGUUACCCGCAGCAGGACGGAAAGACCCCGUGGAGCUUUACUGUAGCUUGGCACUGGAUUUUGGUAUUGCAUGUACAGGAUAGGUGGGAGACUUAGAAGCGAGGACGCAAGUCUUGGUGGAGUCGUUGUUGGGAUACCACUCUUGUAAUACUGAAAUUCUAACCAGAGACCGUUAUCCGGUCUUGGGACACUGUCAGGUGGGCAGUUUGACUGGGGCGGUCGCCUCCCAAAAAGUAACGGAGGCGCCCAAAGGUUCCCUCAGCGCGGUUGGAAAUCGCGCGAAGAGUGCAAAGGCAGAAGGGAGCUUGAUUGCGAGACAUACAGGUCGAGCAAGGACGAAAGUCGGGCUUAGUGAUCCGGUGGUUCCGAGUGGAAGGGCCAUCGCUCAACGGAU